UAGGGAAUCUUCGGCAAUGGGGGGAACCCUGACCGAGCAACGCCGCGUGAGUGAAGAAGGUUUUCGGAUCGUAAAGCUCUGUUGUUAAGGAAGAACGAGUGUGAGAAUGGAAAGUUCAUACUGUGACGGUACUUAACCAGAAAGGGACGGCUAACUACGUGCCAGCAGCCGCGGUAAUACGUAGGUCCCGAGCGUUGUCCGGAAUCAUUGGGCGUAAAGCGAGCGCAGGCGGUCAAUUAAGUCUGAUGUGAAAGCCCCCGGCUCAACCGGGGAGGGUCAUUGGAAACUGGUUGACUUGAGUGCAGAAGAGGAGAGUGGAAUUCCAUGUGUAGCGGUGAAAUGCGUAGAUAUAUGGAGGAACACCAGUGGCGAAGGCGACUCUCUGGUCUGUAACUGACGCUGAGGCUCGAAAGCGUGGGUAGCAAACAGG
Molecule: ribosomal RNA, 430 nt
Filed under: Bacteroidota bacterium
Lineage: Bacteria; Pseudomonadati; Bacteroidota
Description: Bacteroidetes bacterium partial 16S ribosomal RNA
Rfam family: Bacterial small subunit ribosomal RNA
Source: RNAcentral